AUGCUCACACCAACAGCAAAUAUACUAAAAUUGGAACAAUACAGAGAAGAUUAGCACGUUCUCUGUGCAAAGAUGACUCAAAUCCAUGAAGCAUUCCAUAUUUAA
This is a small nuclear RNA of Microtus ochrogaster (prairie vole), 105 nucleotides long. NCBI's taxonomy places the organism in Eukaryota, Metazoa, Chordata, Mammalia, Rodentia, Cricetidae. The record is from Ensembl.